GGGGAUUUAGCUCAGCGGCAUAAGCGCCUGCCUUGCAAGCAGGUGGCCGUGAGUUCGAUCCCCG
Molecule: transfer RNA, 64 nt
Filed under: Cavia porcellus (domestic guinea pig)
Lineage: Eukaryota; Metazoa; Chordata; Mammalia; Rodentia; Caviidae
Rfam family: tRNA
About the family: Transfer RNA (tRNA) molecules are approximately 80 nucleotides in length. Their secondary structure includes four short double-helical elements and three loops (D, anti-codon, and T loops). Further hydrogen bonds mediate the characteristic L-shaped molecular structure. tRNAs have two regions of fundamental functional importance: the anti-codon, which is responsible for specific mRNA codon recognition, and the 3' end, to which the tRNAs corresponding amino acid is attached (by aminoacyl-tRNA synthetases). tRNAs cope with the degeneracy of the genetic code in two manners: having more than one tRNA (with a specific anti-codon) for a particular amino acid; and 'wobble' base-pairing, i.e. permitting non-standard base-pairing at the 3rd anti-codon position.
Source: Rfam by way of RNAcentral